This 329-nucleotide unclassified non-coding RNA is filed under the name soil metagenome. Its description in RNAcentral is "partial contains 5.8S ribosomal RNA, internal transcribed spacer 2, and large subunit ribosomal RNA". The stretch from base 1 to 120 matches the Rfam family "5.8S ribosomal RNA", at positions 35 to 154 of the family's 154-position model. The record is from RNAcentral.
GAUGAAGAACGCAGCGAAAUGCGAUAAGUAAUGUGAAUUGCAGAAUUCAGUGAAUCAUCGAAUCUUUGAACGCACAUUGCGCCCCUUGGUAUUCCGGGGGGCAUGCCUGUUCGAGCGUCAUUAUAACCACUCAAGCUCUCGCUUGGUAUUGGGGUUCGCGGUUCCGCGGCCCCUAAAAUCAGUGGCGGUGCCUGUCGGCUCUACGCGUAGUAAUACUCCUCGCGAUUGAGUCCGGUAGGUCUACUUGCCAGCAACCCCCAAUUUUUACAGGUUGACCUCGGAUCAGGUAGGGAUACCCGCUGAACUUAAGCAUAUCAAUAAGCGGAGGA